AUGGCUGUCCCCUCCGGUGACUUGGGAGAAACUAAACUGGCCUCCUCACCACCCGCACCAGAAACCCCCUUUCGGGUUCUUCCCAGCGGGCUGACUCUGCCUGGCGCCCAGGAGCGCCUCGGGCAUCUCUCAGCGUCUCAGCCCAGGUCUCGCGCGCAGCGCCCCUACCAGGUUCACCGGGUGCACGUAGCCGUUCUCGUAGCGAUCCUCCUGAAGCAACUGCCGCAGAACUUGGAGCUAAGCCGCAGAGACAGAUACUAAGGGACCCCAAGUCACCACACUGGUGUUGGUGAGCCGACUCCUGCCCACUCGGAGGGCACAUCCCCGUGGGAAAAAGCACCAUAAUGCGGGGAGCGCACAUUGCAUCACGUCUCUUCUCGCCGGUCCCUGCCAUCUUGCCUGCACCUCACCAUGUGUAUCCAACCUCAUCUAAUCCUCCCAGCCCUAGAACACGCGGGGAAUCACUUCCGGUUGGAUUUCCCGCAGCCCUUUGUAACGGGAAACUUCGUCCAGGAUUGGAGAUGG
Rhinolophus ferrumequinum (greater horseshoe bat) is the source of this 525-nucleotide long non-coding RNA. RefSeq lists it as uncharacterized. NCBI's taxonomy places the organism in Eukaryota, Metazoa, Chordata, Mammalia, Chiroptera, Rhinolophidae. The record is from RefSeq and is a predicted model, not a curated record. The transcript has 3 exons.